GAGGGUAUAGUUCAGUGAUAGAGUGCAUGCCUAGCAUGCACAAGGUCCUGGGUUCAAUUCCCAAUACCUCCU
Molecule: transfer RNA, 72 nt
Filed under: Camelus bactrianus (Bactrian camel)
Lineage: Eukaryota; Metazoa; Chordata; Mammalia; Artiodactyla; Camelidae
Also listed under: 3 other names
Rfam family: tRNA
About the family: Transfer RNA (tRNA) molecules are approximately 80 nucleotides in length. Their secondary structure includes four short double-helical elements and three loops (D, anti-codon, and T loops). Further hydrogen bonds mediate the characteristic L-shaped molecular structure. tRNAs have two regions of fundamental functional importance: the anti-codon, which is responsible for specific mRNA codon recognition, and the 3' end, to which the tRNAs corresponding amino acid is attached (by aminoacyl-tRNA synthetases). tRNAs cope with the degeneracy of the genetic code in two manners: having more than one tRNA (with a specific anti-codon) for a particular amino acid; and 'wobble' base-pairing, i.e. permitting non-standard base-pairing at the 3rd anti-codon position.
Source: Rfam by way of RNAcentral